Molecule: long non-coding RNA, 293 nt
Organism: Syngnathus acus (greater pipefish)
Lineage: Eukaryota; Metazoa; Chordata; Actinopteri; Syngnathiformes; Syngnathidae
Exons: 2
Source: RefSeq, a predicted model, not a curated record
GUUAUAAAAUGUUCUGGGUUCGAAGAGAAAGACAAAAGAAAGAUUGUUGAAAGCCACUUGGGUUAUUGAAACAUGAUUUGUUUGUAAUUGAAAUAUGCAUGUCGAAAUUUUGAUCAAUGUUGAUACCAAAGAGUUAAGGUAAAACACGCGAUAGAUAAGCUACUUCUCAGUUGGAAAAGAGGGAUGUGGUAGAUUGGAUCGAGCACUCAGUGCUCGACUGUGUUGGUCUGUCUGUAUUGGAGGUCUGUGUGUAGUCGUGACGGAGCACCCAGUAAAGAUCGGCGCGUACUGCA